This 247-nucleotide long non-coding RNA is filed under the name Lathyrus oleraceus (garden pea). RNAcentral's name for it is "Pisum sativum (pea) long non-coding RNA (PSAT_LNC037938)". The record is from RNAcentral. Lineage: Eukaryota; Viridiplantae; Streptophyta; Magnoliopsida; Fabales; Fabaceae.
GUCAGGCCUCAACGCGUCAUACCGAGUCCUUAUCCACUCAGCCUUCUCCAAUUAGGACCUCAAAUGGUAGCACCGAUUCCUUCUCAUACACCUCCGAGGAAGGCGUUUCCCUAGUAGACGUACGCACCGAAAAUCAAUACCCAGGAUACAAGCUUCGUGCUCAGCCAUCAUUGUUGGUGCAUUCACAUGUUAUCCGGGCAACGAAAGGGAACGUGGGAUCCCCCUGGCGUAACCAAAGCACCACUGA